This is a long non-coding RNA of Astatotilapia calliptera (eastern happy), 725 nucleotides long. NCBI's taxonomy places the organism in Eukaryota, Metazoa, Chordata, Actinopteri, Cichliformes, Cichlidae. The record is from Ensembl.
AAUUCUUGGGAAGAUAGAAGUAUUGCCACUACAAGCUUCAAAUCCCGACAGUUCUAGGUUACUGAAGCCCACAGAUGACUCUUCUGCAUGAUCAAAAUGUGUGAUGCUUCAGUAAAUGCAGAAAUUCCUCCAGUUGCCAUAAGACACUGUAUAAAUGUUCCUCUAUACGGCCACGGUCAGGUCACAUUUCUGUGUCUGCAGCCUCUGGGAGUAAACAAGGCUUUCUGGGCUGAGUAAUGCUGCCUUCAAGCUCACCGACAGCAAUCAUAAUUACUGGAGUCGUCGAAAAUUUCCAUGCGCCUCAAAGAAGUGACGUCACAGAGCCAGAGACAAUAACGACGUUAACAAGGCCAUCGUUUAAUAAAAUAAUGCAAUAAUGUAUAUUUUAUAAAAUUACGCUAUUUACUACAUUGUUUACUGUAACGUGUGUAAUCCAAUCCCUACUCGUUGUCAUACUAGUAGGCUAUAGAUUAUUUGCCUAUAUUACUAUAAACCUAUCGCAUCUCAGCGCACAAUGUGUUUUGUCAUGCUUUUUGAAAACAACUUCUGUCCAGGAUAUCACGUCUCUCUUGAUAAACAUAAUAAAAGAAGAGCGACCAGAGAAAACUACUUUUGUUGACUGUGAAUGUUGUUAUUUCCGGACAAUGCACUUCAAUGAGCGGCAGGUCUUCUGUUAUGCGGUUAACGUAAACACUGACUGUUUUCAUGCACUGUUUCCAGGUGAC